Molecule: long non-coding RNA, 725 nt
Filed under: Panax ginseng (ginseng)
Lineage: Eukaryota; Viridiplantae; Streptophyta; Magnoliopsida; Apiales; Araliaceae
Description: long non-coding RNA (PGIN_LNC019269)
Source: RNAcentral
AUUCCACAAAUUUCAUGGAGUAUAGAAGUCAAAACUUUAACCAACUGAGUAUAAUAAAGAAUGGAAUAACAAAAGAAAUCACCAUGCCUGUGAUACUUCGCAUAGACAGGUUAUUCCAACAGAAUAAUAAUAAUGGAACCAGGUCAGGCAAAAUUCGUACCGACAGGAUAUUCCAACAGAAUAAUAAAUAACGGAACCAGGUCCGGCGUAAAACGCACAGACAGGAUAUUCCAACAUAAUAAAAAAGACGGAAUCAGGUCCGGCAUAAAACGCACAGACAUGAUAUUCUAAUAGAAUAAUAAUAAAGACGGAACCAGGUCCGGCGUAAACGCUCAGACAAGAUAUUCCAACAGAAUAAUAAUAAAGACGGAAUAUUAGAAGAAUGUCACCAAGUAUAGGAUAGUCCGCGUAUACUGGUUAUUCCAGCAGAAUAAUAAAGAAUGGAAUAAUAGAAGUUCUCUUUAUAAAUACGAAAGAAAUAAUACCCCUUACGAGUACAACAAAUAAUAUCCCUUACCUUAGAAAGAAGAGUACUGGAUAUAAAAGUAGUGAAGUAGCAGAACACUUUUCUUCUUUCUCUCUAUAGUUUCUCUCUCUAGAGUUUCAGUGAAUUCGUAAGAAAUAAUGAAUGAAUGAGCUUCUAUUUAUAGAAAAAUGGACUGCAUAGUAACUAACUCAUGAACGGUCCAGAUUGAUUUACUUUAAUCUGACGGUCCAUAUUUAAA